CCUGUCUCUGGUCUGGGGACACAGUUCCCACUGUGGCUGUAAGGUCCUUGCUUGCCGCAGUCUGGCGGGGCACAAAUCACGAGCCACUGAAGCAGGAACAAACUUUAUUUCUGAACUCCACCAGCACACUCCACACACGCUCCCCAGGAACUCUCCCGAACGCCACGCGGCUCCUCCAGGAACCACCAACUGGAAAUCCCUCCUCCGGCACUUCCCCAACCAAUGUGAACUCUUCAGGAAUCCCCGCGAGAGCUCAAGCAGAACUCAACGGGAACUCCGCGAGAACUCAAAAGUCAUCAUCUUAAUGGCUCGCUGGCGUCACCUCUCAACCACUACUUCUGGCAAAAAUGCCAUGCGUCAUCCCGACUCCGACUCCGCUGUGGCCCUCAACACUUGCUUAGCCUCUCAAUGGCCAUCUUAAGUGACAGCCACCAUUUUAAGAAAAAUCUUUUACUUUCCACCUAAGGGCCUUUCUGACAAAGGCUUCCCACUCCUUCAUACCAACCCCACCCUUAACCACCUCCAUUAGGACCCUCCCGGCUCUAAACCCCAAGCCUGUUUUGCCUCUCUCCAUCUCUCUGUCAGCUCUGACAAAUAAACUCUCGUG
RNAcentral lists this long non-coding RNA (607 nucleotides) under Marmota monax (woodchuck). The record is from RNAcentral. Lineage: Eukaryota; Metazoa; Chordata; Mammalia; Rodentia; Sciuridae.